AUAUACAUGUAUUAAGAUCGAGUGUAAUAGUAUAUUUGUCCCAUGUUCAUUUUUUGGAUGUAUAUACGACUUUUAGAAAUUUAUGCGUUCUCAACAAAAAGAAACCAUCAAAGGUAGCCCUCUUCCGAAGAAAAAUAUUUGACUUUUAUCAACCUUAUAAACUAACAAUCGAAAACUCAUCCCAACACAAUCUUCUACCUUCUUCUCUAAUCCAUAUAGAUUCCACACUUCAGCCAAAA
This 239-nucleotide small RNA is filed under the name Arabidopsis thaliana (thale cress). RNAcentral's name for it is "ATSL230230". The record is from RNAcentral. Lineage: Eukaryota; Viridiplantae; Streptophyta; Magnoliopsida; Brassicales; Brassicaceae.